Molecule: ribosomal RNA, 233 nt
Filed under: uncultured bacterium
Lineage: Bacteria
Description: partial 16S ribosomal RNA
Rfam family: Bacterial small subunit ribosomal RNA
Source: RNAcentral
CGGGACGGGUGAGUAAUGUCUGGGAAACUGCCCGAUGGAGGGGGAUAACUACUGGAAACGGUAGCUAAUACCGCAUAACGUCGCAAGACCAAAGAGGGGGACCUUCGGGCCUCUUGCCAUCGGAUGUGCCCAGAUGGGAUUAGCUAGUAGGUGGGGUAACGGCUCACCUAGGCGACGAUCCCUAGCUGGUCUGAGAGGAUGACCAGCCACACUGGAACUGAGACACGGUCCAG